Molecule: non-coding RNA, 198 nt
Filed under: Desulfofustis glycolicus
Lineage: Bacteria; Pseudomonadati; Thermodesulfobacteriota; Desulfobulbia; Desulfobulbales; Desulfocapsaceae
Also listed under: 1 other name
Source: RNAcentral
GAUGCGUCAUUAUCUUCAGGUUCCACCUCGGUGGAUGAAAAGGGAACCCGGUGCAAAUCCGGGACGGGCCCGCCGCUGUAAUCCUGUCCUUCGUGUUGUUGUAAGGAACUCUCCCAGCCUUGGGUGCCACUGCAUUUUGUGGGAAGGCCGCUGGUAGAGCAGGAAAGUCAGAAGACCUGCCUGAAGAGAACCGUCGAA